CCGGAGCUGAGCAGCUGCUCUGACAAGCCGCUGAGCUGCUGAGCACAGAUUUGGAGACAAGCUGUGUCCAGGCUGAAGCAGGGGGGCCGGGGCCACUGCUCCUGGAGGCUGAUGUGUCCUCCGGCCCUGUGGGGGCACAUAUUUGAGGAAGAGAUUCGCUCCCCCUGAGCGUGUUUCCUGGACAUUUUGUGCUGUGCCCACCAGCUGGAAGAGCAUUAACAACCCCACUGGGAGUAAGUGGGGUAGGAUUCCUGGGGUCUGAGCAGGCCUCCUGGAACAGAUUGUCCCGGGGCCAGAAGACAGCAGUCUGGAAGUUUCUGCGAGGCCUUCCCGUGUGAGAAUGACCACACUGCAGUCACGGGCACGGUGGGGUGCAGUUCCAGGACAGUCAUGUUUGUACUCAUGCCUCCUUCUGGGGUAGGUAUUGCAAACCCCCAACACAGAUGAGGGGUUUCUCUCUACCCUCUGAGAAGUGACACAGUGACAUCAGACCCUGCUCCCUUCACCUCUUAGCUGGGUCAUGUGCUCCUUUCCUCUCAAAUAUUGGGGGAUUACUAAAGGUAUUUGAUCUUAAAGAGCCCGAGAAUGCCCUGCUGCAGAUGCUGGGGCCCAUGGCAUGGCCUAGGCACACAUCCUGUCUCUCCUGGGAGGCCCGUGCCUCUGUCAACAUCAGGUCCCAUCAUUGCCCAGGCCUUACCAGCUCAGGUUCUGCUGUCUCUGAGAGGCUUCCAGACUGUUCCCAGCCCAUGUACUCUUCCCCACCCUCCUCCCACCUCCCAUUGCUCAGAACCAUGAUACGCUGACCUUAGGUGCCAGAUUUGUGCCCACUGUGGGCAUGGAAAAGUGUCCCAAUGUGCAGGGGAUGGAGGGUCCAGUACACAGUCUGAGCAGAGGGCACAGGGGAAGUCUGGGCCCAGCCAGGCCCCUGGGCACAGGGAGGAGGCUGUGGGCAACAACUGGGGCAGGCAGGGUCCGGAUGAGCUGUGGGAUCCCGAGGUAGCAGCCCCUCUGCCCAGAGCCUGGGUGACAGAGAGGCUCAGAAAGGGGAGGCACCCCCCACAGGUGGCCAGCCCCUGCAUGGUGGUGCCCCGGAAGGCAGGGCCUACUUUCUGGCAAUGAGGAAGGGGCCCUUGUGCAGGCAGGUGGUCUAGGCCAGGAGGGAGAAAGCAGCAUGGCACUGCCAUUGGUAGCAGAGAGAGCCAGGGACUCACAGGAGACACCCCGGGGGCACUUGCAGGUUCUGGGAGACAUCUGGAGGAAGGAGGUGCUACAUCAGCAGAGUUGGGAGCUGAGGAAGUGGACUUACUGCAGGGAACCAGCUGAGGAGGCCCUGGAACCUCCGGUGUAAGAAUUCCGAGGGUGACUGUUGCUUAAGCAGUUUGCAUGCAGAUUUCAGUGGGUCCUCCCAGGCCUUGCAGUGUAGGUAUGGCUUUUAUGCCCUCUGGAAAGCUGAACAAACUAAGGCUUGCAGGGCUCUGGUGAGCGGCAGAGCAGGGUGACAGCAAGGCCACCCCAAGGCUCUGCACAGGCCACCUGUGGUGGCUCACAGCCAUCCGUUGUCACUUUGUGGCUUCAUGGGUAAAGCCACCUCCCUAAUGCAGCUGCAAGCCCUGGGGUGGGCAUGAGUCUCAGAAUUUUGGAACCCGUUUGUCCCCUGACAUAGGCCAGGCAGCUGCAAAGUAGCCCAUAGAGACCUGGAUCUUCUCUGAUGGGGGUGCUGGAGGCUAACCGCUGGGGUGUGGUGAGGGAUGGCUAGUGUGGGCUCUCACAGCCCCAGGAGAUGGACUCACUGUCCCUAGGCUGCUCACGGGCACUGCUGUUUGGAUGGCUUGGAGCCUUGGCUGGUGGGGUGCUGGACUCCCUCUGUGCUCAUCAGAUGCCCGACUUCCUGAGUGGGGAAAGGGAAGGCUCGGGGAUCCCUCCCACAAACCCUGGCUCCGGCCUCCAUUCAAGCAGUGUUGGGUUUGUCUGGAAAGUCUGGCCACUGCUGUCACCAUAGAUUGACGGCGGGGCAGGAACUGAAGUACCCAUCAUGUGUCCACUCUGGCUUUCAGGAUUUUACCGAGAGUGUUCACUGCUCCAGACACGUCCCCAGACGCAGGGCUGCUCAUGGUAUUUGAGUGUCCAGUACAGCGUCACGACGCCAGCCUGUAUUUAUUUGGAAAUGUCACAUUCAUGAUUGUUUUUCCAAUCUCCAAGUGAAUCUGAGUGAGACUCUCUAUUUUUUGACGACUACCUUUCAACUCAAGUUAUGGUUUUAUAAAUAAUAUAUAUGGCAAGUCGGUGCUGGGGAAAGGACGUUCAUUCGGCUCUGAAAUAUUUAUGGCCCGGAGUGUCUGCUUACUUUUCUUUGGAGUCAUCUUUUCAGCGCGGCGUGCCAGAAAGCGCGACAGCCGGGCCAUCUUCGGAGGCGGCGGCCGCGUGGCCCUUCCAGCCUAUCCAUCCUGGGCCGCCGGGGAGGUGGCAGCUCUGCCCAGACCUCCUCAAUUAUCCCCGGGAAGGCUCUGCGCGGGUGACAGGAAUCAGCGCCACUGCCUUCCAAGCAGACGGUGCUUUCCGGCGCGGCCUGAAUUGUAACAGACGCUGCAUCAGCCUUACUGGGACGUGCUCUUGAAUCCUCGGGCCUCUCCCAGGCCGCCUGCAUCUUAGCCCCCAUUUUGCGGGCGGGGAAACUGAGGCUCGGCAAGGUUAAGGAAUUUCUCAAGGUCAAGGCCGUAAUCAAGCAGGAGCCUGGAUUUUCACCCAGCCUGGCUGACUUCAUGUCUCAAUUUUUUCCUCCUUAUCCCGAGCUGCUGCCCAGCCGGCCCCACCGCCCCGCUGAAGCUGGGGGCCAGCAAGUGGAUUGCGGAUCACUUUCCACGGCUGCGCACGCCCGUCUGCGACGGUUGGAAAUGCUAGGGGCUUGGAUCUGGGAAGAGCAAUCUGCUCUGAACAGCCGGGCUUGAAUCCCAAUCCUACGGCAAUGGAUGCGUUCCUGCAUGUGCUGAAGUGGGGCAGAUGGUGCUGGAAAGACCCAGGCGUCGUCUUGUCUGAAUCCCCAUGUUACAGGUGGGAGACUAAGAGCCUGGCAGGGGUAGGGAUUUGCCCAAGGCCAUAGAGAUACUUGGAGCCCAUUGGUCACAGUGGUGGCUCUUGGAGGCUAGUCAUCUGGCCAACCUCGCCUCCCUCCCAUUACCCUUCUUCUUCCAGGGGAAAAUCAACACUUGGAGAAGGAAAAGUUUGAUCAGCCUCAACACACUGGAUGAAUAUAGAGCUGUGUACUUCCUUGGUCUGGCUGAAAAUCCACGAGUGACUUAAAUAAUUUUGAGACUGCUUGAGGAAAAACUAAAAUUCCAGGGCAUUUCUAAACUGGUUGGACCAUGGAGUGGGCUGUAGUUAAUAAAUUUCAGAUACUUAAUCAGUGAUCGGACUGAGUAGUGAGGCCUGGAAUAUCUCAUAC
Nyctereutes procyonoides (raccoon dog) is the source of this 3439-nucleotide long non-coding RNA. RefSeq lists it as uncharacterized. The transcript has 3 exons. The record is from RefSeq and is a predicted model, not a curated record. NCBI's taxonomy places the organism in Eukaryota, Metazoa, Chordata, Mammalia, Carnivora, Canidae.